This 77-nucleotide transfer RNA is filed under the name Lysobacterales bacterium. RNAcentral describes it as "tRNA-Pro". It matches the Rfam family "tRNA". From Rfam's summary of the family: Transfer RNA (tRNA) molecules are approximately 80 nucleotides in length. Their secondary structure includes four short double-helical elements and three loops (D, anti-codon, and T loops). The record is from RNAcentral. Lineage: Bacteria; Pseudomonadati; Pseudomonadota; Gammaproteobacteria; Lysobacterales.
CGGGCGGUGCCUCAGUCAAGCAGAGCGCUACGUUCGGGACGUAGAGGUCGCAUGUUCGAAUCAUGUCUCCCCGACCA